This 62-nucleotide microRNA precursor is filed under the name Schmidtea mediterranea. RNAcentral's name for it is "Sme-Mir-96-P1k_pre stem-loop". Lineage: Eukaryota; Metazoa; Platyhelminthes; Tricladida; Dugesiidae. The record is from RNAcentral.
UUUGGCACUUAAGGAAUCGUCACCAGUUGCAUUGAUAUUGUGACAUUUCUAAGUGUCUAUUA